Molecule: small RNA, 440 nt
Filed under: Arabidopsis thaliana (thale cress)
Lineage: Eukaryota; Viridiplantae; Streptophyta; Magnoliopsida; Brassicales; Brassicaceae
Description: ATSL280790
Source: RNAcentral
AAGCAAGUACGUAAUCGUUUUUCUACAAUCCGACUUCUAGGCGAUAACCGCUUCGAUAAAGGAUUACAAUUUUGGUUUGAAACAAGGCUCUAAAUGUAAAGGUUUUCUAAUAUUCUGCUACAUUCUCUAUUUUCCGAUGCACUAGUUGUACAAAAGCUAUACUUUUCUUUGAAUAUAAUUUAACAUUAUUUUCAAAAAAAAAAAAAAAAAAUUUUUGCUUGGUAUCCAAAGAAGUUGCAGGUAUGAUUCGACCCUAGGACUUUGCCAUAUUCUCCUUUAAAAUCUCACCCAGGUAAAUUAAUCGGUGCAAGUAACACAUUGAGUUUAGAAUUAUUUUUGUUCAGUCAAAAUAUAUCUAAAAACGUUAAACAAUAUCUAAUAAAUCAGUAUAGUGAAAAUAUAGGUAAUGACCUAGAUUAGAGUCACUCCACAUAUCACUU